GUGACGACAGGAGGGUGGAGAUGGAUGAUCGAGGAUUUGAACGCUGA
This 47-nucleotide small nucleolar RNA is filed under the name Pyrobaculum oguniense TE7. RNAcentral describes it as "POGsR35". Lineage: Archaea; Thermoproteati; Thermoproteota; Thermoprotei; Thermoproteales; Thermoproteaceae. The record is from RNAcentral.